This 253-nucleotide ribosomal RNA is filed under the name uncultured bacterium. RNAcentral's name for it is "partial 16S ribosomal RNA". It matches the Rfam family "Bacterial small subunit ribosomal RNA", at positions 524 to 776 of the family's 1533-position model. The record is from RNAcentral.
UACGGGGGGGGCAAGCGUUGUUCGGAAUUACUGGGCGUAAAGGGCUCGUAGGCGGCCAACUAAGUCAGACGUGAAAUCCCUCGGCUUAACCGGGGAACUGCGUCUGAUACUGGAUGGCUUGAGUUCGGGAGAGGGAUGCGGAAUUCCAGGUGUAGCGGUGAAAUGCGUAGAUAUCUGGAGGAACACCGGUGGCGAAGGCGGCAUCCUGGACCAAUAUUGACGCUGAGGAGCGAAAGCCAGGGGAGCAAACGGG